GUGUUGUAUGAAAGGAGAGAAGGUUAGCACUCCCCUUGACAAGGAUUGAAGAGGCUUCGGCCUUGCAACAUGCAUAGGUUAAGGCACUGCCACCUACUUCGUGGCAUCUAACAAACAUUUUU
RNAcentral lists this non-coding RNA (122 nucleotides) under Sorex araneus (European shrew). Lineage: Eukaryota; Metazoa; Chordata; Mammalia; Eulipotyphla; Soricidae. The record is from RNAcentral.